CCUACGGGGGGCUGCAGUGGGGAAUAUUGGACAAUGGGGGCAACCCUGAUCCAGCCAUGCCGCGUGUGUGAAGAAGGCCCUCGGGUUGUAAAGCACUUUCAGUGAGGAAGAACGCCUGGUGGUUAAUACCCAUCAGGAAAGACAUCACUCACAGAAGAAGCACCGGCUAACUCCGUGCCAGCAGCCGCGGUAAUACGGAGGGUGCGAGCGUUAAUCGGAAUUACUGGGCGUAAAGCGCACGUAGGUGGCUUGAUAAGCCGGUUGUGAAAGCCCCGGGCUCAACCUGGGAACGGCAUCCGGAACUGUCAAGCUAGAGUGCAGGAGAGGAAGGUAGAAUUCCCGGUGUAGCGGUGAAAUGCGUAGAGAUCGGGAGGAAUACCAGUGGCGAAGGCGGCCUUCUGGACUGACACUGACACUGAGGUGCGAAAGCGUGGGUAGCAAACAGGAUUAGAUACCCUAGUAGUC
This 465-nucleotide ribosomal RNA is filed under the name Vreelandella stevensii. RNAcentral's name for it is "partial 16S ribosomal RNA". It matches the Rfam family "Bacterial small subunit ribosomal RNA", at positions 338 to 795 of the family's 1533-position model. Lineage: Bacteria; Pseudomonadati; Pseudomonadota; Gammaproteobacteria; Oceanospirillales; Halomonadaceae. The record is from RNAcentral.